GAGAGAAUAAGAGGUCUUAUAAGAUGAACAGAAGAAGAAAAAGAGGCUUUCUAGGUGUUGUCCCUCUUCUGAGGCUCGAACGGCGCUUUUCCACGAAGGAUAAUUACUAACAGUUUCGCCUGCAUCAUUCGCAGAUCACUCAGUCAUGCCGACACGUCUUCUUCGUCCUCAGAGCCAGAAGCCUGAUCUGUCGUUUCCUUGUACUAAGCGAGCAAUGUCGGAAGAAGACAGCUUUAUCGGGUAAAUAGUUCCAAACCUCACCGAAGAUGAUAAAGAACGUCUCGUUUAUUUUAAGCACUUCAUAAACGCCUGUAGGAAGCUUGAAAUGAAGAAAAUUGGCUAUCAGAGAUCGAGAUAAUGAAUUAAGACGGUGCGUUUGAAUCAAAUACAAGAUGCCAACACGCCAUGUUGCUGCAAUUUGCAAGUUGCUGCCACAAAUGAUUGAUAACA
RNAcentral lists this long non-coding RNA (450 nucleotides) under Varroa destructor (honeybee mite). RNAcentral describes it as "uncharacterized LOC111247477, transcript variant X1". Lineage: Eukaryota; Metazoa; Arthropoda; Arachnida; Mesostigmata; Varroidae. The record is from RNAcentral.